ACACUCCUGCGGGAGGCAGCAGUGGGGAAUUUUGGACAAUGGGCGAAAGCCUGAUCCAGCAAUGCCGCGUGUGUGAAGAAGGCCUUCGGGUUGUAAAGCACUUUUGUCCGGAAAGAAAUCCUUGGCUCUAAUACAGUCGGGGGAUGACGGUACCGGAAGAAUAAGCACCGGCUAACUACGUGCCAGCAGCCGCGGUAAUACGUAGGGUGCGAGCGUUAAUCGGAAUUACUGGGCGUAAAGCGUGCGCAGGCGGUUUGCUAAGACCGAUGUGAAAUCCCCGGGCUCAACCUGGGAACUGCAUUGGUGACUUGCAGGCUAGAGUAUGGCAGAGGGGGGUAGAAUUCCACGUGUAGCAGUGAAAUGCGUAGAGAUGUGGAGGAAUACCGAUGGCGAAGGCAGCCCCCUGGGCCAAUACUGACGCUCAUGCACGAAAGCGUGGGGAGCAAACAGGAUUAGAUACCCCAGUAGUCCCA
Molecule: ribosomal RNA, 473 nt
Filed under: uncultured organism
Description: partial 16S ribosomal RNA
Rfam family: Bacterial small subunit ribosomal RNA
Source: RNAcentral